CGGUUUUAGCGGUAGGGAAACACCCGGUCUCAUUCCGAACCCGGUAGUUAAGCUUGCCAGCGCCGAUGGUACUGCCACCGUGGGGUGGUGGGAGAGUAGGACGCCGCCGGAC
Molecule: ribosomal RNA, 112 nt
Filed under: Streptosporangiaceae bacterium NEAU-GS5
Lineage: Bacteria; Bacillati; Actinomycetota; Actinomycetes; Streptosporangiales; Streptosporangiaceae
Source: RNAcentral